GCCUGGGUGGCUCAGUCGGUUAAGCGUCUGACUUCAGCUCAGGUCAUGAUCUCACGGUUCGGUUCGUGGGUUCGAGCCCCGCGUUGGGCU
This is a transfer RNA of Felis catus (domestic cat), 90 nucleotides long. It matches the Rfam family "tRNA". From Rfam's summary of the family: Transfer RNA (tRNA) molecules are approximately 80 nucleotides in length. Their secondary structure includes four short double-helical elements and three loops (D, anti-codon, and T loops). The record is from Rfam. NCBI's taxonomy places the organism in Eukaryota, Metazoa, Chordata, Mammalia, Carnivora, Felidae.